UGGGAUUAAAACAUGAACCACCAUGGAUG
Molecule: non-coding RNA, 29 nt
Filed under: Mus musculus (house mouse)
Lineage: Eukaryota; Metazoa; Chordata; Mammalia; Rodentia; Muridae
Source: RNAcentral